This 454-nucleotide ribosomal RNA is filed under the name uncultured bacterium. RNAcentral's name for it is "bacterial SSU rRNA". It matches the Rfam family "Bacterial small subunit ribosomal RNA", at positions 29 to 524 of the family's 1533-position model. The record is from RNAcentral.
AACGAACGCUGGCGGCAUGCUUAUCACAUGCAAGUCGAACGGGCGCCUUCGGGCGUUAGUGGCGCACGGGUGAGUAACGCGUGGGAACCUGUCAUGAAGUGGGGAACAACCACUGGAAACGGUGGCUAAUACCGCAUACGCCCUGAGGGGCAAAGGCUUCGGCCGCUUUGUGAGGGGCCCGCGUCCGAUUAGCUAGUUGGUGGGGUAACGGCCUACCAAGGCUACGAUCGGUAGCUGGUCUGAGAGGAUGAUCAGCCACACUGGGACUGAGACACGGCCCAGACUCCUACGGGAGGCAGCAGUGGGGAAUAUUGGACAAUGGGCGAAAGCCUGAUCCAGCAAUGCCGCGUGAGUGAAGAAGGCCUUAGGGUUGUAAAGCUCUUUCGCCUGCGACGAUGAUGACGGUAGCAGGAGAAGAAGCCCCGGCUAAUUCCGUGCCAGCAGCCGCGGUAAU